UAGGGAAUCUUCCGCAAUGGGCGAAAGCCUGACGGAGCAACGCCGCGUGAGUGAUGAAGGUCUUCGGAUCGUAAAACUCUGUUAUUAGGGAAGAACAAAUGUGUAAGUAACUAUGCACGUCUUGACGGUACCUAAUCAGAAAGCCACGGCUAACUACGUGCCAGCAGCCGCGGUAAUACGUAGGUGGCAAGCGUUAUCCGGAAUUAUUGGGCGUAAAGCGCGCGUAGGCGGUUUUUUAAGUCUGAUGUGAAAGCCCACGGCUCAACCGUGGAGGGUCAUUGGAAACUGGAAAACUUGAGUGCAGAAGAGGAAAGUGGAAUUCCAUGUGUAGCGGUGAAAUGCGCAGAGAUAUGGAGGAACACCAGUGGCGAAGGCGACUUUCUGGUCUGUAACUGACGCUGAUGUGCGAAAGCGUGGGGAGCAAACAGG
This 429-nucleotide ribosomal RNA is filed under the name Actinomycetes bacterium. RNAcentral's name for it is "Actinobacteria bacterium partial 16S ribosomal RNA". It matches the Rfam family "Bacterial small subunit ribosomal RNA", at positions 355 to 776 of the family's 1533-position model. Lineage: Bacteria; Bacillati; Actinomycetota; Actinomycetes. The record is from RNAcentral. RNAcentral also lists the same sequence under 1 other name.